GGGUGAGUAACGCGUAAGGAACUUGCCUCUUGGUCUGGGACAACUGUUGGAAACGACAGCUAAUACCGGAUAUUAUGAGAUUCUCGCAUGGGAAACUUAUGAAAGCUAUAUGCGCCAAGAGAGAGCCUUGCGUUCCAUUAGCUAGUUGGUGGGGUAACGGCCCACCAAGGCGACGAUGGAUAGCCGGCCUGAGAGGGUGAACGGCCACAAGGGGACUGAGACACGGCCCUUACUCCUACGGGAGGCAGCAGUGGGGAAUAUUGGACAAUGGACCAAAAGUCUGAUCCAGCAAUUCUGUGUGCACGAUGAAGGUCUUCGGAUUGUAAAGUGCUUUCAGUUGGGAAGAAGCAAGUGACGGUACCAACAGAAGAAGCGACGGCUAAAUACGUGCCAGCAGCCGCGGUAAUACGUAUGUCGCAAGCGUUAUCCGGAUUUAUUGGGCGUAAAGCGCGUCUAGGCGGAAAAAUAAGUCUGAUGUUAAAAUGCGGGGCUCAACUCCGUAUUGCGUUGGAAACUGUUUUUCUAGAGUACUGGAGAGGUGGGCGGAACUACAAGUGUAGAGGUGAAAUUCGUAGAUAUUUGUAGGA
Molecule: ribosomal RNA, 587 nt
Filed under: uncultured bacterium
Lineage: Bacteria
Description: bacterial SSU rRNA
Rfam family: Bacterial small subunit ribosomal RNA
Source: RNAcentral